This is a long non-coding RNA of Ctenopharyngodon idella (grass carp), 1032 nucleotides long. RefSeq lists it as uncharacterized. The record is from RefSeq and is a predicted model, not a curated record. NCBI's taxonomy places the organism in Eukaryota, Metazoa, Chordata, Actinopteri, Cypriniformes, Xenocyprididae. The transcript has 2 exons.
CUCCGAGUCAGAGCUGGAGCGUGGCAGACUGCGUUCGUUCCUGUACACCAGAAAACUCUCUGUCUUCGGCUGACCACUUCCACCGAAACCAUUACUGUGAAGAUCUGAGAGGAGCGCAGAAGAAGAAACAAACUCCGUUACACUGACAUGUUCGCCUGAGCUCAUUUCCACAGGGACAAACACCGCCAUAUAGAAAAGAGCUGCAUGAAGAUCACAAUUUCUUGGUAUUCCACGGAAAAAAGAAAACGACACCAACGGCUUUGUUUACGGAUCCUUGAGUCUUCGUGAGUCGUCCGGUGGUGGGGACUUCCCAGCAUUCAAGCCUCUUUACAGAAAACAUCUGACUCACAGAGAAGUGUGGGAGUUUCUUCAUAGUCAGUGUGUGAAUGAGUAGCGAUGAUAGAAACGUUGACAUAUCCAGUUAAAACCGCAGGAUUCAAUGAAGGCUCUCAGCAGCAAAACAAAUGAUGAAUUCUGCUGAAACAAACUGUCAUCGGAUAAUGUGGAGAUUUGAGACGCUGCGGCAUAACUGAAAUACCAGAUAAUAUCAUGGAUCACAGAUUUACUGAGCCCUAAACAUUAUUCUUAUGUUUACACUGAAAUGUGGACCAGACUUGAACUCACAUCUAACUGAUAUUUAUCCUUCAUAUGUGAAUUUUAGCUGGCAAUCUGAUCCAGAGAUUGUACAGAGAUGGACCACUGCUGUUACACUGACUGGGAGAAACUGAUGAUUUUGUUGAGGAGUGAAAAAUGAUUUUGUCGAUAGUAAUAAUAAUUGGACAAUAUUUUGCUUUUUGUACAGGUAUCUUGGCUGGGUUCAGCCUGUCGUGUCAGCUGACUCCCAAAGCGUUUCAUAUUCUUCAUAUUCUGUGUGUUGGUCAGUUGACAUCAGUGACAGAAAUGAACAUUUUCAUUAAAGUGCCCCUAUUUUGCUUUUUCUGAUGUAGUGUGUAUUAAAGCUGUUUGUGAAUGUAAACAUUUUAAAGAUAAAAGUGCAUGACAAAUAAAGUUAUUGUCUCCUAAAAGAAAGAA